GGAUGGGUGCCCGAGCGGUUGAAGGGACCGGUCUUGAAAACCGGCGACGGUUUACCCCGUCCGUGGGUUCGAAUCCCACCUCAUCCG
Molecule: transfer RNA, 87 nt
Filed under: Planctomycetia bacterium
Lineage: Bacteria; Pseudomonadati; Planctomycetota; Planctomycetia
Description: tRNA-Ser
Rfam family: tRNA
About the family: Transfer RNA (tRNA) molecules are approximately 80 nucleotides in length. Their secondary structure includes four short double-helical elements and three loops (D, anti-codon, and T loops). Further hydrogen bonds mediate the characteristic L-shaped molecular structure. tRNAs have two regions of fundamental functional importance: the anti-codon, which is responsible for specific mRNA codon recognition, and the 3' end, to which the tRNAs corresponding amino acid is attached (by aminoacyl-tRNA synthetases). tRNAs cope with the degeneracy of the genetic code in two manners: having more than one tRNA (with a specific anti-codon) for a particular amino acid; and 'wobble' base-pairing, i.e. permitting non-standard base-pairing at the 3rd anti-codon position.
Source: RNAcentral